UACGGCGAAUACGUUCCCGGACCUUGUACACACCGCCCGUCAAGCCAUGGAAGCUGGGUGUACCUAAAGUCGAUAACCGUAAGGAGUCGCCUAGGGUAAAACUAGUAACUGGGGCU
This 116-nucleotide ribosomal RNA is filed under the name uncultured bacterium. RNAcentral describes it as "partial 16S ribosomal RNA". It matches the Rfam family "Bacterial small subunit ribosomal RNA", at positions 1358 to 1482 of the family's 1533-position model. The record is from RNAcentral.